RNAcentral lists this ribosomal RNA (589 nucleotides) under uncultured bacterium. Its description in RNAcentral is "partial 16S ribosomal RNA". It matches the Rfam family "Bacterial small subunit ribosomal RNA", at positions 355 to 1376 of the family's 1533-position model. The record is from RNAcentral.
UGGGGAAUAUUGGACAAUGGGCGCAAGCCUGAUCCAGCAGUGCCGCGUGUGUGAAGAAGGCCUUCGGGUUGUAAAGCACUUUUAUCAGGAGCGAAACGCUGUCGGCUAAUACCCGGCGGAACUGACGGUACCUGAGGAAUAAGCACCGGCUAACUUCGUGCCAGCAGCCGCGGUAAUACGAAGGGUGCAAGCGUUAAUCGGAAUUACUGGGCGUAAAGCGUGCGUAGGCGGUUUCUUAAGUCUGCUGUGAAAUCCCCGGGCUCAACCUGGGAAUGGCAGUGGAUACUGGGAGGCUAGUAGUGUGUCAGAGGGUGGUGGAAUUCCCGGUGUAGCGGUGAAAUGCGUAGAGAUCGGGAGGAACAUCAGUGGCGAAGGCGGCCACCUGGGACAACACUGACGCUGAGGCACGAAAGCGUGGGGAGCAAACAGGAUUAGAUACCCUGGUAGUCCACGCCCUAAACGAUGCGAACUGGAUGUUGGUCUCAACUCGGAGAUCAGUGUCGAAGCUAACGCGUUAAGUUCGCCGCCUGGGGAGUACGGUCGCAAGACUGAAACUCAAAGGAAUUGACGGGGUCAUAGCUGUUUCCUG